This 235-nucleotide ribosomal RNA is filed under the name uncultured bacterium. RNAcentral describes it as "partial 16S ribosomal RNA". It matches the Rfam family "Bacterial small subunit ribosomal RNA", at positions 333 to 582 of the family's 1533-position model. The record is from RNAcentral.
UGGUUCCUACGGGGCGCAGCAGUGGGGAAUAUUGGGCAAUGGGCGCAAGCCUGACCCAGCAACGCCGCGUGAAGGAAGAAGGCUUUCGGGUUGUAAACUUCUUUUCUGAGGGACGAAGCAAGUGACGGUACCUUAGGAAUAAGCCACGGCUAACUACGUGCCAGCAGCCGCGGUAAUACGUAGGUGGCAAGCGUUAUCCGGAUUUACUGGGUGUAACGGGCGUGUAGGCGGGAAA